GCCUGGGUGGCUCAGUCGGUUAAGUGUCUGACUUUGGCUUAGGUUGUGAUCUCAUGGUUUGUGGGUUUGAGCCCCGCAUCAGGCU
This 85-nucleotide transfer RNA is filed under the name Felis catus (domestic cat). It matches the Rfam family "tRNA". From Rfam's summary of the family: Transfer RNA (tRNA) molecules are approximately 80 nucleotides in length. Their secondary structure includes four short double-helical elements and three loops (D, anti-codon, and T loops). Further hydrogen bonds mediate the characteristic L-shaped molecular structure. tRNAs have two regions of fundamental functional importance: the anti-codon, which is responsible for specific mRNA codon recognition, and the 3' end, to which the tRNAs corresponding amino acid is attached (by aminoacyl-tRNA synthetases). tRNAs cope with the degeneracy of the genetic code in two manners: having more than one tRNA (with a specific anti-codon) for a particular amino acid; and 'wobble' base-pairing, i.e. permitting non-standard base-pairing at the 3rd anti-codon position. Lineage: Eukaryota; Metazoa; Chordata; Mammalia; Carnivora; Felidae. The record is from Rfam by way of RNAcentral.